UAAUAAGUGUUUUAUGGCGCUUUUUAAAUCCAUAUCCACCUCGUGUGCAAUGUCGGUCGAUCUUCUUUUUUUGAGGAUCGACCAAACAUCAACCUUUAUUUUUUAACUCUUUGUCUGAAAAAUAUUAUGAAUAAACAAUUCAAAAUA
Molecule: unclassified non-coding RNA, 147 nt
Filed under: soil metagenome
Description: partial internal transcribed spacer 1
Source: RNAcentral